GUGAGCCACCAUGCCCGGCCAUGACUGGCUUAUCUCAUUUAGCAAAAUGACUCAAGAUUUACUCAUGUUGUAGCAUGUGACAGGAUUUCCUUCCUUUUUAAGGCUGAAUCAUAUUUCACUGUAUGUAUAUACUACAUUUUGUUUAUCCAUUCUUCCUUUGAUGGACACUUGGUUUGCUCCCACCUCUUGGCUAUUGUGAAUAAGCUUCUAUAAACAAGGGUGUGCAAAUAUUUCUUUGAGGCCCUGCUUCCCAUUCUUUUGGAUAUAUAUCCAGAAGUGAGAUUGCUGGGUCAUAGAGUUGUUCUGUUUUUAAUUUUUUAAAGGAACUUCCAUGCUAUUUUCCACAGUGGCUGUGCCAUUUUACAGUCCCAUCAACAAUGCGUAAAGGUUCCAAUUUCUCCACAUUCUCACCAACACGUGUUAUUUUCUGAAUUUAGAGCUACAUGAGGUUUUUUGGGUCAGAAUAAAGGACAAUUGCCCUGGAACAACCAACACAGGCUCUUCAACUUUUAAGUUCCUCAUUUUUGAAGAAAGUUUCCAACCACCGACUUGUGGUUCAUUGGUCAUUGGCCAACCUGACAUUCUGACUCUUAAGUGGGGAGUUUUAUGGAUGUGUGUGAAUAACUAGUGGGACCAUGUUCUCCAGCAGCUUCUGAAGAUCAGAGAACAGAGAAACUUAAAGAUAGAACUCCAGGCCAGGCGUGGCAGUUCACGCCUUUAAUCCCAGCACCUUGGGAGGCCGAGGCGGGUGGAUCACCUGAGGUCUGGAGCUCGAGACCAGCCUGGCCAACAUGGAGAAAACCUGUCUCUACUAAAAACACAAAAAUUAGCCGGGCCUGAUGGCUGCCUGUAAUCCCAGCUACUCAGGAGGCUGAGGCAGGAGAAUGUCUUGAAACUGGAGGCAGAGGUUGCAGUGAG
RNAcentral lists this long non-coding RNA (918 nucleotides) under Homo sapiens (human). RNAcentral describes it as "HSALNT0061151". The record is from RNAcentral. Lineage: Eukaryota; Metazoa; Chordata; Mammalia; Primates; Hominidae.